This 1435-nucleotide ribosomal RNA is filed under the name uncultured organism. Its description in RNAcentral is "16S ribosomal RNA". It matches the Rfam family "Bacterial small subunit ribosomal RNA". The record is from RNAcentral.
CAGGCUUAACACAUGCAAGUCGAGGGGCAGCAUGGUCUUAGCUUGCUAAGGCCGAUGGCGACCGGCGCACGGGUGAGUAACGCGUAUCCAACCUGCCUUACACUCUUGGACAGCCUUCUGAAAGGGAGAUUAAUACAAGAUGUUAUCAUGAGUAAGCAUUUUCGCAUGAUUAAAGGUUUACCGGUGUAAGAUGGGGAUGCGUUCCAUUAGAUAGUAGGCGGGGUAACGGCCCACCUAGUCUUCGAUGGAUAGGGGUUCUGAGAGGAAGGUCCCCCACAUUGGAACUGAGACACGGUCCAAACUCCUACGGGAGGCAGCAGUGAGGAAUAUUGGUCAAUGGACGAGAGUCUGAACCAGCCAAGUAGCGUGAAGGAUGAAGGUUCUAUGGAUUGUAAACUUCUUUUAUACGGGAAUAAACGAAUCCACGUGUGGAUUUUUGCAUGUACCGUAUGAAUAAGGAUCGGCUAACUCCGUGCCAGCAGCCGCGGUAAUACGGAGGAUCCGAGCGUUAUCCGGAUUUAUUGGGUUUAAAGGGAGCGUAGAUGGGUUGUUAAGUCAGUUGUGAAAGUUUGCGGCUCAACCGUAAAAUUGCAAUUGAUACUGGCAGUCUUGAGUACAGUUGAGGUAGGCGGAAUUCGUGGUGUAGCGGUGAAAUGCUUAGAUAUCACGAAGAACUCCGAUUGCGAAGGCAGCUUACUAACCUGUAACUGACAUUGAUGCUCGAAAGUGUGGGUAUCAAACAGGAUUAGAUACCCUGGUAGUCCACACGGUAAACGAUGAAUACUCGCUGUAGGCGAUAUACAGUCUGCGGCCAAGCGAAAGCAUUAAGUAUUCCACCUGGGGAGUACGCCGGCAACGGUGAAACUCAAAGGAAUUGACGGGGGGCCCGCACAAGCGGAGGAACAUGUGGUUUAAUUCGAUGAUACGCGAGGAACCUUACCCGGGCUUAAAUUGCAACCGAAUAUGGCGGAAACGCUAUAGCUAGCAAUAGCGGUUGUGAAGGUGCUGCAUGGUUGUCGUCAGCUCGUGCCGUGAGGUGUCGGCUUAAGUGCCAUAACGAGCGCAACCCUUGCCGAUAGUUACUAACAGGUCAUGCUGAGGACUCUGUCGGGACUGCCAUCGUAAGAUGUGAGGAAGGUGGGGAUGACGUCAAAUCAGCACGGCCCUUACGUCCGGGGCUACACACGUGUUACAAUGGGGGGUACAGAGGGCUGCUACCACGCAAGUGGAUGCCAAUCCCAAAAACCUCUCUCAGUUCGGAUUGAAGUCUGCAACCCGACUUCAUGAAGCUGGAUUCGCUAGUAAUCGCGCAUCAGCCACGGCGCGGUGAAUACGUUCCCGGGCCUUGUACACACCGCCCGUCAAGCUAUGGGAGCCGGGGGUACCUGAAGUGCGUAACCGCAAGGAGCGCCCUAGGGUAAAACUGGUGACUGGG